GCAAGCGUUGUUCGGAAUUACUGGGCGUAAAGGGCUCGUAGGCGGCCAACUAAGUCAUACGUGAAAUCCCUCGGCUUAACCGGGGAACUGCGUCUGAUACUGGAUGGCUUGAGUUCGGGAGAGGGAUGCGGAAUUCCAGGUGUAGCGGUGAAAUGCGUAGAUAUCUGGAGGAACACCGGUGGCGAAGGCGGCAUCCUGGACCGAUACUGACGCUGAGGAGCGAAAGCCAGGGGAGCAAACGGG
RNAcentral lists this ribosomal RNA (243 nucleotides) under uncultured bacterium. RNAcentral's name for it is "partial 16S ribosomal RNA". It matches the Rfam family "Bacterial small subunit ribosomal RNA", at positions 534 to 776 of the family's 1533-position model. The record is from RNAcentral.